RNAcentral lists this unclassified non-coding RNA (159 nucleotides) under uncultured fungus. Its description in RNAcentral is "sequence contains ITS1, 5.8S rRNA gene". Lineage: Eukaryota; Fungi. The record is from RNAcentral.
CAAAAGCGAGUUGAAAAACUGCUAAACCCUUGUGAAUAUACCUGUUUAGUUGCUUCGGCGAGCAGCCCCAGGGCGGGGCCGCAGCCUUUUAUAGGUGCUCGCCGAUAGCAUUGAAACUCUAUUUUUACAGUUAUUCUGAGUUAUAAAACAAAUAAGUCA